This 497-nucleotide ribosomal RNA is filed under the name uncultured bacterium. Its description in RNAcentral is "partial 16S ribosomal RNA". It matches the Rfam family "Bacterial small subunit ribosomal RNA", at positions 28 to 507 of the family's 1533-position model. The record is from RNAcentral.
GAUGAACGCUGGCGGCGUGCCUAAUACAUGCAAGUCGAGCGGACAGACGAGGAGCUUGCUCCUCUGACGUUAGCGGCGGACGGGUGAGUAACACGUGGAUAACCUACCUAUAAGACUGGGAUAACUUCGGGAAACCGGAGCUAAUACCGGAUAAUAUAUUGAACCGCAUGGUUCAAUAGUGAAAGACGGUUUUGCUGUCACUUAUAGAUGGAUCCGCGCCGCAUUAGCUAGUUGGUAAGGUAACGGCUUACCAAGGCAACGAUGCGUAGCCGACCUGAGAGGGUGAUCGGCCACACUGGAACUGAGACACGGUCCAGACUCCUGCGGGAGGCAGCAGUAGGGAAUCUUCCGCAAUGGGCGAAAGCCUGACGGAGCAACGCCGCGUGAGUGAUGAAGGUCUUCGGAUCGUAAAGCUCUGUUAUUAGGGAAGAACAAAUGUGUAAGUAACUAUGCACGUCUUGACGGUACCUAAUCAGAAAGCCACGGCUAACUACGUG